RNAcentral lists this ribosomal RNA (1517 nucleotides) under metagenome. Its description in RNAcentral is "bacterial SSU rRNA". It matches the Rfam family "Bacterial small subunit ribosomal RNA". The record is from RNAcentral.
AGAGUUUGAUCCUGGCUCAGAAUGAACGCUGGCGGCGUGCUUAACACAUGCAAGUCGAACGAGAAAGCUUUAGCUUGCUAAAGCGAGUAAAGUGGCGCACGGGUGAGUAACGCGUGGGUAAUCUACCCUUGGAUUGGGGAUAACAUUGCGAAAGUGAUGCUAAUACCGGAUGACAUUCUAUUUACGUAGGUAAAUAGAAUCAAAGAUGGCCUCUUAACAAAGCUAUUGUCUGGGGAUGAGCCCGCGUACCAUUAGCUAGUUGGUAAGGUAAAAGCUUACCAAGGCAACGAGGGUUAGCUGGUCUGAGAGGAUGAUCAGCCACACUGGAACUGACACACGGUCCAGACUCCUACGGGAGGCAGCAGUGAGGAAUUUUGCGCAAUGGGGGAGACCCUGACGCAGCAACGCCGCGUGAGUGAUGAAGGUUUUCGGAUCGUAAAGCUCUGUCGAGUGGGAAGAAAGUGCAAGUGACCAAUACUCAUUAGUACUGACGGUACCACAGAAGGAAGCACCGGCUAACUCCGUGCCAGCAGCCGCGGUAAUACGGGGGGUGCAAGCGUUAUUCGGAUUAUUGGGCGUAAAGAGCGCGUAGGCGGUUUAUUAAGUCAGAUGUGAAAGCCCGGGGCUUAACCUCGGAAGUGCAUUUGAAACUGGUAGGCUUGAGUAUGGGAGAGGGAAGUGGAAUUCCUGGUGUAGAGGUGAAAUUCGUAGAUAUCAGGAGGAACACCGGUGGCGAAGGCGACUUCCUGGACCAAUACUGACGCUGAGGCGCGAAGGCGUGGGUAGCAAACAGGAUUAGAUACCCUGGUAGUCCACGCAGUAAACGGUGAUCACUAGGUGUAGAGGGUAUUGAAUCCUUCUGUGCCGGAGUUAACGCAUUAAGUGAUCCGCCUGGGGAGUACGACCGCAAGGUUAAAACUCAAAGGAAUUGACGGGGGCCAGCACAAGCGGUGGAGCAUGUGGUUUAAUUCGACAACGCGAAGAACCUUACCUGGGUUUGACAUCUUAGGAAUCCUUUUGAAAGAGAGGAGUGCCUUUCGGGGAGCCUAAAGACAGGUGCUGCAUGGCUGUCGUCAGCUCGUGUCGUGAGAUGUUGGGUUAAGUCCCGCAACGAGCGCAACCCCUAUCUUUAGUUGCCAGCAUUCAGUUGGGGACUCUAGAGAUACUGCCCAGGUUAACGGGGAGGAAGGUGGGGAUGACGUCAAGUCCUCAUGGCCUUUAUAUCCAGGGCUACACACGUGCUACAAUGGACUGUACAAAGGGCAGCGAGCUCGCGAGGGUAAGCGAAUCCCAUAAAGCAGUUCUCAGUUCGGAUUGGAGUCUGCAACUCGACUCCAUGAAGUUGGAAUCGCUAGUAAUCGUGGAUCAGCAUGCCACGGUGAAUAUGUUCCCGGGCCUUGUACACACCGCCCGUCACACCAUGAGAGUUGGUUGUACCAGAAGUUGUUGGGCCAACCCUUCGGGGAGGCAGGCACCUAAGGUAUGGCUGAUGAUUGGGGUGAAGUCGUAACAAGGUA